AUGAUGAUUCCAUGCGAUUCCAUUAGAUGAUGACCCCUUUCAUUUCCAUUCAAUGAGGAUUCCAUUCGGUUCCAUUUGAUGAUGAUUCCUUUGAAUUCCAUUUGAUGACAAUUCCAUUCAAUACUAAUUGAUGAUGGUUAUUUUUGAUUCCAUUUGAUGAUGAUUACAUUCGAUUCCAUUUGAUCAUAAUUCCAUUCGAUUCCACUCGAUGAUUCCAUUCGAUUCCAUUCAAUGAUGAUUCCAUUCGAGUUCAUUGACUGUUCCAUUCCAUUCCACUCGAUGAUUCCAUUCGAGUCCAUUCGAUGAUUCUAUUCGAUUGCAUUCGAUAAUUCCAUUCGAUUGCAUUCGAUAAUUCCAUUCGAUUCCAUUGGAGGAUAAUUCCAUUUGAGUCCAUUCGAUGAUUGUUCCAUUCGAUUCUAUUCGGUGAUUCCAUUCGAUUCCAUUUGAUAAUGAUUCCAAUCGAGACCAUUUGAUGAUUCCAUUCAAUUCCAUUCAAUAAUGAUCCCUUUCGAGUCCAUUCAAUGAUUCCAUUCCAGUCCAUUCGAUGAUUCCAUCUGAUUCCAUUCAAUGAAUCCAUUCGAUUCCAUUCCAUGACGAUUCCAUUCAUUUCCAUCUGAUGAUGAUUCCAUUCGAUUCCAUUCAAUGAUACCAUUCGAUUCCAUUCGAUGAUGAUUUCAAUCAAUUUUAUUCGAUGAUUCCAUUCGAAUCCAUUCGAUGAUGAGUCCAUCCAUUUCAAUUUCAUGGUAAUUCCAUUCGUUUCAAUUCGAUGGUGUUUCCAUUUGAUUCAUUCGAUUUCGUUUCAUCAAUUGGUAUUGAAU
Molecule: long non-coding RNA, 818 nt
Filed under: Homo sapiens (human)
Lineage: Eukaryota; Metazoa; Chordata; Mammalia; Primates; Hominidae
Description: HSALNT0295136
Source: RNAcentral